GUUUGGUGGAAAGUUUUUUCGGUUGGGGAUGGGCUCGCGGCCUAUCAGUUUGUUGGUGAGGUAAUGGCUCACCAAGACGACGACGGGUAGCCGGCCUGAGAGGGCGACCGGCCACACUGGGACUGAGACACGGCCCAGACUCCUACGGGAGGCAGCAGUGGGGAAUAUUGCACAAUGGGGGAAACCCUGAUGCAGCGACGCAGCGUGCGGGAUGACGGCCUUCGGGUUGUAAACCGCUUUCAGCAGGGAAGAAGCUCCUUGGGGUGACGGUACCUGCAGAAGAAGUACCGGCUAACUACGUGCCAGCAGCCGCGGUAAUACGUAGGGUACAAGCGUUGUCCGGAAUUAUUGGGCGUAAAGAGCUCGUAGGUGGUUGGUCACGUCUGCUGUGGAAACGCAACGCUUAACGUUGCGCGUGCAGUGGGUACGGGCUGACUAGAGUGCAGUAGGGGAGUCUGGAAUUCCUGGUGUAGCGGUGAAAUGCGCAGAUAUCAGGAGGAACACCGGUGGCGAAGGCGGGACUCUGGGCUGUAACUGACACUGAGGAGCGAAAGCAUGGGGAGCGAACAGGAUUAGAUACCCUGGUAGUCCAUGCCGUAAACGUUGGGCACUAGGUGUGGGGGACAUUCCACGUUCUCCGCGCCGUAGCUAACGCAUUAAGUGCCCCGCCUGGGGAGUACGGUCGCAAGGCUAAAACUCAAAGGAAUUGACGGGGGCCCGCACAAGCGGCGGAGCAUGCGGAUUAAUUCGAUGCAACGCGAAGAACCUUACCAAGGCUUGACAUACACCAGACCGUUCUGGAAACAGUUCCUCCCCUUUGGGGUUGGUGUACAGGUGGUGCAUGGUUGUCGUCAGCUCGUGUCGUGAGAUGUUGGGUUAAGUCCCGCAACGAGCGCAACCCUCGUUCUAUGUUGCCAGCACGUGAUGGUGGGAACUCAUAGGAGACUGCCGGGGUCAACUCGGAGGAAGGUGGGGAUGACGUCAAAUCAUCAUGCCCUUUAUGUCUUGGGCUUCACGCAUGCUACAAUGGCUGGUACAGAGAGAUGCGAGACCGCGAGGUUUUAGCGAAUCCCUUAAAGCCAGUCUCAGUUCGGAUCGUAGUCUGCAAUUCGACUACGUGAAGUCGGAGUCGCUAGAAUCGCAG
Molecule: ribosomal RNA, 1144 nt
Filed under: uncultured bacterium
Lineage: Bacteria
Description: bacterial SSU rRNA
Rfam family: Bacterial small subunit ribosomal RNA
Source: RNAcentral